CUCCGGUUGAUCCUGCCGGACCCGACUGCUAUCAGAGUGGGACUAAGCCAUGCGAGUCAACGUAGCAAUACGUGGCAUACGGCUCAGUAACACGUAGUCAACAUGCCCAGGGGACGAGGAUAACCUCGGGAAACUGAGGAUAAACCUCGAUAGGCCAUGAUUUCUGGAAUGAUUCUUGGCUCAAACCUAUAUGGCCCCUGGAUUGGACUGCGGCCGAUCAGGCUGUUGGUGAGGUAAUGGCCCACCAAACCUAUUACCGGUACGGGCUCUGAGAGGAGGAGCCCGGAGAUGGGCACUGAGACAAGGGCCCAGGCCCUAUGGGGCGCAGCAGGCGCGAAACCUCUGCAAUAGGCGAAAGCUUGACAGGGUUACUCUGAGUGAUUUCCGCUAAGGGAAUCUUUUGGCACCUCUAAAAAUGGUGCAGAAUAAGGGGUGGGCAAGUCUGGUGUCAGCCGCCGCGGUAAUACCAGCACCCCGAGUGGUCGGGACGAUUAUUGGGCCUAAAGCAUCCGUAGCCGGUCCUGCAAGUCUUCCGUUAAAUCCAGCUGCUCAACAGAUGGGCUGCGGGAGAUACUACAGGGCUAGGAGGCGGGAGAGGCAAGCGGUACUUUAUGGGUAGGGGUAAAAUCCGCUGAUCCAUAGAAGACCACCAGUGGCGAAGGCGGCUUGCCAGAACGCGCUCGACGGUGAGGGAUGAAAGCUGGGGGAGCAAACCGGAUUAGAUACCCGGGUAGUCCCAGCUGUAAACGAUGCAGACUCGGUGAUGGGUUGGCCUCGCGCCUGCCCAGUGCCGCAGGGAAGCCGUUAAGUCUGCCGCCUGGGGCGUACGGUCGCAAGACUGAAACUUAAAGGGAAUUGGCGGGGGAGCA
Molecule: ribosomal RNA, 869 nt
Filed under: uncultured archaeon
Lineage: Archaea
Description: bacterial SSU rRNA
Rfam family: Archaeal small subunit ribosomal RNA
Source: RNAcentral